Aedes aegypti (yellow fever mosquito) is the source of this 673-nucleotide long non-coding RNA. RefSeq lists it as uncharacterized. The transcript has 3 exons. The record is from RefSeq and is a predicted model, not a curated record. Lineage: Eukaryota; Metazoa; Arthropoda; Insecta; Diptera; Culicidae.
CUGUUGCAAUGUGUGGUGUGUCGUAUGGUAGCGCUCUGGCUGCCGCCUGUCAGAUAUCAACCUAUGUACAUAUACGACCCCAAAAGUUGUUUCCUGAUCAAGUAUGGACACGACAGUGGGGACCAUGGCUUUGAGUCGAGGACAAAAUAUUAAAGUGUAUGACAAAGAAGUGUCACAGUUGAUUGGAUUGAAACGUUGCAAAAGUGUAGCAAAUAUCCAUGUUUAUAUUAGCCUGCCGGUCGAAGCUAGCACGAUCUGAGCCGUCAUAGACUAUGGAAAUCAUGAGAAGGCAAAAAGAGCUCCAACUAGCAUUAAUGAAGCAUUGUUUGGCGAUAUGUGGAGCAGUUGGCAUAAUGUCAUGGCGUUUUUUUUCUGUAGAUCUUGGUGAUAUAGAACUUGAAAUGCUGAGAAGCUAGCAGUCAACGGUAUCAAUUGUAUGGUGAUUUGCAGCAAUUCUACGCGAAACUGUUCCAAGUGCUAGUUUCUCUGUGAGAAACGAAUGUUUAUGGAGCAAACUCUAUUGCUCAUCUGUAGUUGCAUUUCAAUGUACGGUCGAUAGUUGCUUGGUUGUCCAUGUACUUUUUCAUUGCCAGCUAAAGUGAAUACUCAAACUUUUAGAAAUAGAGUUGAUGAGUUUUUAUAAUUAGUGGGUUAACUCGGCUUAUUACUUUGA